RNAcentral lists this ribosomal RNA (222 nucleotides) under uncultured bacterium. RNAcentral describes it as "partial 16S ribosomal RNA". It matches the Rfam family "Bacterial small subunit ribosomal RNA", at positions 110 to 334 of the family's 1533-position model. The record is from RNAcentral.
UAAAUGCUUGGGAAGUCUGGCUUAUGGAGGGGGGUAACUACGGGAAACUGUAGCUAAUGCCGCGUAAUAUCGAAAGAUUAAAGUGUGGGACCUUCGGGCCACAUGCCAUAGGAUGAGCCCAAGUGGGAUUAGGUAGUUGGUGAGGUAAAGGCUCACCAAGCCGACGAUCUCUAGCUGGUCUGAGAGGAUGACCAGCCACACUGGGACUGAGACACGGCCCAG